RNAcentral lists this ribosomal RNA (474 nucleotides) under uncultured bacterium. RNAcentral's name for it is "bacterial SSU rRNA". It matches the Rfam family "Bacterial small subunit ribosomal RNA", at positions 40 to 505 of the family's 1533-position model. The record is from RNAcentral.
CGGCAGGCCUAACACAUGCAAGUCGAGGGGUAACAGAGAGAAGCUUGCUUUUCUGCUGACGACCGGCGCACGGGUGCGUAACGCGUAUACAAUCUGCCUUAUACAGAGGGAUAGCCUUUAGAAAUGAAGAUUAAUACCUUAUAGUCUAUUUUUAUAGCAUUAUAUAAAUAGUAAAGCUUCGGUGGUAUAAGAUGAGUAUGCGUCCUAUUAGUUAGUUGGUAAGGUAACGGCUUACCAAGACAACGAUAGGUAGGGGCCCUGAGAGGGGGAUCCCCCACACUGGUACUGAGACACGGACCAGACUCCUACGGGAGGCAGCAGUGAGGAAUAUUGGACAAUGGAGGCAACUCUGAUCCAGCCAUGCCGCGUGCAGGAUGACGGCCCUAUGGGUUGUAAACUGCUUUUAUAUAGGAAGAAACCUUUUCACGUGUGAGAAGCUGACGGUACUAUAAGAAUAAGGACCGGCUAACUCCG